GGAGGUUAACAGUCGCACUACCAGUUCACUACAGUUCAAUCGCUCGACACCAUAACCGACGGUUGCAUCCUUUACUGGUUUGAUUCAAACUAUCAUUGGUAUGCCUCCUCCUUCCGUGCAUAAACACCCAGGGAUAAAUUCAUCUACGGGGUCAAAAAUAGGUCUUGGAUUAAUGCAUAUUCAGAACUUGGGACCAAGAAAAAGUCCACAAUUGCGGAGUAAUGCAUUAUUGGCAGAAAUAGAGAAGUAGCUAUAAUUAUUAAAAACGCCAAGAACCUUCACUAAAUGUUUUGGUGGCAGAAAUAGAGUAAUAUAGGAACCUGUUUAAAAAACUUCUAAUCUGAUUUGGUGGCAACUCUUGCUGCAACGACAAGUGCCCAUGCAUCUGAUAAAAUAUAAACCUUAUAGUUAAUUUACAGGCGUGGGAUGAAACAUAUUAUUGUGAGCAUUUGUAAUAGAUAUAUCCAUUUGCACGCAUGUAUGCCAACUAAAACUUCUGUGAAGAGCACACAUCAUAUGUCUGGCACCAAAAUCAGGGUACUUGUUGAUUUUUCAAUCUGCACGGCACCAAAGGGGAAUUGUGCGUGCAACACCUAUCAGUUUCCUUGUGCUGCUAAUUACUAAAGAAUAGGACACGUGACUACGGUAGUGUUUGGCAGAACUGGAGAUAGUUUCUUUCAAUUAGCUGCCAGAACAUGUAGGCCCUACAUAUGAAAAAGUUGCGGAAAAGAACAAAAAGCUAAUUCUUUGGAUUACAAAGUGAGAAGACAAUUUCUAGCUAUGGUACAAUAUGUGGCCGACAGCAAGAUUUACCCUCGGUGCAAGGUCGCUAUUCACUGCGUAUUCGCCUGGCCGGGAGGACUAUUGAAAUAGCUAUAAUGAAUCCUACAUCCAAGCAGAAUAUUGGGCACCAAGAUUUUUGGAAGAACGCAUCAACAAUGAAAAAGAUACUAAUAGGAUUUAUAAUAUAGCUUGAUUGCUAUGUCUAUAUGGUCGCAUUUAAAAUAAAAAGUGUAGUGUAUAACCCACUAAUCAUGCAUAAGACACAAGCUGCUUGAAAAACAGAGGACCCGAAUUGCUUCCAGGAUACAAACCAUUGGAGUCAUAAGAGAUGAUAUAUUAUGUAUGUGCCUGAUGUCUGAAUCUUAGAACAGCAAGUAGAAACUUCCUUUUACCCAUUUGGAGCACAGCCUGUAAGGCUACCAUCUACAAAACCUAAAAAAC
This 1224-nucleotide long non-coding RNA is filed under the name Triticum aestivum (bread wheat). RNAcentral describes it as "long non-coding RNA (TAES_LNC008359)". The record is from RNAcentral. Lineage: Eukaryota; Viridiplantae; Streptophyta; Magnoliopsida; Poales; Poaceae.